Molecule: transfer RNA, 76 nt
Filed under: Paracoccaceae bacterium
Lineage: Bacteria; Pseudomonadati; Pseudomonadota; Alphaproteobacteria; Rhodobacterales; Paracoccaceae
Also listed under: 1 other name
Description: Rhodobacteraceae bacterium tRNA-Ala
Rfam family: tRNA
About the family: Transfer RNA (tRNA) molecules are approximately 80 nucleotides in length. Their secondary structure includes four short double-helical elements and three loops (D, anti-codon, and T loops). Further hydrogen bonds mediate the characteristic L-shaped molecular structure. tRNAs have two regions of fundamental functional importance: the anti-codon, which is responsible for specific mRNA codon recognition, and the 3' end, to which the tRNAs corresponding amino acid is attached (by aminoacyl-tRNA synthetases). tRNAs cope with the degeneracy of the genetic code in two manners: having more than one tRNA (with a specific anti-codon) for a particular amino acid; and 'wobble' base-pairing, i.e. permitting non-standard base-pairing at the 3rd anti-codon position.
Source: RNAcentral
GGGGCAGUAGCUCAGUUGGUAGAGCGCGUCGUUCGCAAUGACGAGGUCAGGGGUUCGAUUCCCCUCUGCUCCACCA